UCAUGGUUAGCUUAGUUGGUAGAGCGCUCCACUGGAACUGGAGACGUUCUUGGUUCGAUACCAGGACCAUCUG
This is a non-coding RNA of Ixodes scapularis (black-legged tick), 73 nucleotides long. NCBI's taxonomy places the organism in Eukaryota, Metazoa, Arthropoda, Arachnida, Ixodida, Ixodidae. The record is from Rfam.